RNAcentral lists this ribosomal RNA (453 nucleotides) under Triticum aestivum (bread wheat). RNAcentral describes it as "partial small subunit ribosomal RNA". Lineage: Eukaryota; Viridiplantae; Streptophyta; Magnoliopsida; Poales; Poaceae. The record is from RNAcentral.
AUGCUAACUUUUAUUGUGCAAUUAGUCAAAGAACGCAGAUUUUGUGGGCGUUCCACAGCAGACAACUUGAAGAGAGAAUUGAUUUAUAAAUUGGCUGUCGGAGAUGCCACCCAUAGCCAGAUUGUGAGGUCUCUUCCCCGUGACCUUUCGUCAAGCGAACAAUUUCAAGAUGUUCUAGAUUCAGUCGCAGUUUGUUCUGAUCCAUCUGGAAAGAAAAAGGUUUUAGCCUUGAAAUUAUACUACAUGCUUCUGCAACUUAACUUUGAAUGGGUGACUAAUAAGAAAAGUUAUCACAGGGCAAGUAUGUGCUUCACGAAGCAUUCUGGAAGGAGUUGGACUUGUAUCACCCGCGAUGGAGUUCUAGGGAAUUACAGAUUGCUAAAGAGAGAUAUUACCGUUUUUGCAAAGUUUCUGCUCUUGGCGCUCAACUGCCUCAAUGGACUCAUGUUUUGA